This 364-nucleotide RNase P RNA is filed under the name Candidatus Aminicenantota bacterium. Its description in RNAcentral is "RNase P RNA component class A". It matches the Rfam family "Bacterial RNase P class A". Rfam says of the family: Ribonuclease P (RNase P) is a ubiquitous endoribonuclease, found in archaea, bacteria and eukarya as well as chloroplasts and mitochondria. Its best characterised activity is the generation of mature 5'-ends of tRNAs by cleaving the 5'-leader elements of precursor-tRNAs. The record is from RNAcentral. Lineage: Bacteria; Candidatus Aminicenantota.
CGAGUAGAGCAGAUGGUCGCUGAGGCCCCUGAGGCAUCAGAGGAAAGUCCGGACUCCGCAGGGCAGUGUGCUGGGUAAUGCCCAGUGGGGGUGACCCCAAGGAAAGUGCCACAGAAAAUAUACCGCCCUGAGAUUAUUCUCAGGGUAAGGGUGAAAAGGCGAGGUAAGAGCUCACCGCUUCAGCAGUGAUGUUGGAGGCAUGGUAAACCCCACACGGAGCAAGACCAAAUAGGGAAACGCUAUAGUGUGGCCCGCACGAUGUUUCCGGGUAGGUCGCAAAAGGUGUUGAGCAAUUAACAUCUAUAGACAAAUGACCAUCACCCCUCACAGGGGAACAGAAUCCGGCUUAUACUCUGCUCGGGUU